Molecule: ribosomal RNA, 712 nt
Filed under: Escherichia coli
Lineage: Bacteria; Pseudomonadati; Pseudomonadota; Gammaproteobacteria; Enterobacterales; Enterobacteriaceae
Description: bacterial LSU rRNA
Rfam family: Bacterial large subunit ribosomal RNA
Source: RNAcentral
AAUCCGGGUUGCGGACAGUGUCUGGUGGGUAGUUUGACUGGGGCGGUCUCCUCCUAAAGAGUAACGGAGGAGCACGAAGGUUGGCUAAUCCUGGUCGGACAUCAGGAGGUUAGUGCAAUGGCAUAAGCCAGCUUGACUGCGAGCGUGACGGCGCGAGCAGGUGCGAAAGCAGGUCAUAGUGAUCCGGUGGUUCUGAAUGGAAGGGCCAUCGCUCAACGGAUAAAAGGUACUCCGGGGAUAACAGGCUGAUACCGCCCAAGAGUUCAUAUCGACGGCGGUGUUUGGCACCUCGAUGUCGGCUCAUCACAUCCUGGGGCUGAAGUAGGUCCCAAGGGUAUGGCUGUUCGCCAUUUAAAGUGGUACGCGAGCUGGGUUUAGAACGUCGUGAGACAGUUCGGUCCCUAUCUGCCGUGGGCGCUGGAGAACUGAGGGGGGCUGCUCCUAGUACGAGAGGACCGGAGUGGACGCAUCACUGGUGUUCGGGUUGUCAUGCCAAUGGCACUGCCCGGUAGCUAAAUGCGGAAGAGAUAAGUGCUGAAAGCAUCUAAGCACGAAACUUGCCCCGAGAUGAGUUCUCCCUGACUCCUUGAGAGUCCUGAAGGAACGUUGAAGACGACGACGUUGAUAGGCCGGGUGUGUAAGCGCAGCGAUGCGUUGAGCUAACCGGUACUAAUGAACCGUGAGGCUUAACCUUACAACGCCGAAGGUGUUU